GAUGAACGCUGGCGGCGUGCCUAAUACAUGCAAGUCGAGCGAACGGACGAGAAGCUUGCUUCUCUGAUGUUAGCGGCGGACGGGUGAGUAACACGUGGAUAACCUACCUAUAAGACUGGGAUAACUUCGGGAAACCGUAGCUAAUACCGGAUAAUAUUUUGAACCGCAUGGUUCAAAAGUGAAUGACGGUCUUGCUGUCACUUAUAGAUGGAUCCGCGCUGCAUUAGCUAGUUGGUAAGGUAACGGCUUACCAAGGCAACGAUGCAUAGCCGACCUGAGAGGGUGAUCGGCCACACUGGAACUGAGACACGGUCCAGACUCCUACGGGAGGCAGCAGUAGGGAAUCUUCCGCAAUGGGCGAAAGCCUGACGGAGCAACGCCGCGUGAGUGAUGAAGGUCUUCGGAUCGUAAAACUCUGUUAUUAGGGAAGAACAUAUGUGUAAGUAACUGUGCACAUCUUGACGGUACCUAAUCAGAAAGCCACGGCUAACUACGUGCCAGCAGCCGCGGUAAUACGUAGGUGGCAAGCGUUAUCCGGAAUUAUUGGGCGUAAAGCGCGCGUAGGCGGUUUUUUAAGUCUGAUGUGAAAGCCCACGGCUCAACCGUGGAGGGUCAUUGGAAACUGGAAAACUUGAGUGCAGAAGAGGAAAGUGGAAUUCCAUGUGUAGCGGUGAAAUGCGCAGAGAUAUGGAGGAACACCAGUGGCGAAGGCGACUUUCUGGUCUGUAACUGACGCUGAUGUGCGAAAGCGUGGGGAUCAAACAGGAUUAGAUACCCUGGUAGUCCACGCCGUAAACGAUGAGUGCUAAGUGUUAGGGGGUUUCCGCCCCUUAGUGCUGCAGCUAACGCAUUAAGCACUCCGCCUGGGGAGUACGACCGCAAGGUUGAAACUCAAAGGAAUUGACGGGGACCCGCACAAGCGGUGGAGCAUGUGGUUUAAUUCGAAGCAACGCGAAGAACCUUACCAAAUCUUGACAUCCUUUGACAACUCUAGAGAUAGAGCCUUCCCCUUCGGGGGACAAAGUGACAGGUGGUGCAUGGUUGUCGUCAGCUCGUGUCGUGAGAUGUUGGGUUAAGUCUCGCAACGAGCGCAACCCUUAAGCUUAGUUGCCAUCAUUAAGUUGGGCACUCUAAGUUGACUGCCGGUGACAAACCGGAGGAAGGUGGGGAUGACGUCAAAUCAUCAUGCCCCUUAUGAUUUGGGCUACACACGUGCUACAAUGGACAAUACAAAGGGCAGCGAAACCGCGAGGUCAAGCAAAUCCCAUAAAGUUGUUCUCAGUUCGGAUUGUAGUCUGCAACUCGACUACAUGAAGCUGGAAUCGCUAGUAAUCGUAGAUCAGCAUGCUACGGUGAAUACGUUCCCGGGUCU
Molecule: ribosomal RNA, 1372 nt
Filed under: uncultured bacterium
Lineage: Bacteria
Description: bacterial SSU rRNA
Rfam family: Bacterial small subunit ribosomal RNA
Source: RNAcentral